RNAcentral lists this microRNA precursor (59 nucleotides) under Penaeus japonicus. RNAcentral's name for it is "microRNA mja-mir-6491 precursor". The record is from miRBase by way of RNAcentral. Lineage: Eukaryota; Metazoa; Arthropoda; Malacostraca; Decapoda; Penaeidae.
GACGCCGGCGGUAGCCCGGGGAAGAGCUUUCUUCUCUUUUUUAGGCUGCUGGAGGCCCC